GGGGGGGGGGGGGGAGGUCUUUCUGUGAUCCAAUAAUAAAUAUAUAUAUAUAUAAACAAUAAAUCCAACAUAUUCAACAUAUAGUGCUGUGUGUCGUUACAGCAUCACCUCUGUAGAUUCAGGAUAGAUUUCCACAUCUAUGUCCCCAAUGGUGCCCUAUCUAGUGCACUACUUUAGACCACAUCUAUGUCCCCCAAUGGUGCCCUAUCUAGUGCACUACUUUAGACCACAUUUAUGUCCCCCAAUGGUGCCCUAUCUAGUGCACUACUUUAGACCACAUCUAUGUCCCCCAAUGGUGCCCUAUCUAGUGCACUACUUUAGACCACAUCUAUGUCCCCCAAUGGUGCCCUAUCUAGUGCACUACUUUAGACCACAUCUAUGUCCCCCAAUGGUGCCCUAUCUAGUGCACUACUUUAGACCAGAUCCAUUUCCCCAAUGGUGCCCUAUCUAGUGCACUACUUUAGACCAGGGCCCUAUGGGACCCUAUUCCCUACAUAGUGCACUACUUUAGACCAGGGCCCUAUGGGACCCUAUUCCCUACAUAGUGCACUACUUUAGGGAACGGAGUGCCAUUUGGGAUGUUGGCAUAGUUCUGCUCCAGAUACAAAACGGAGUCAUAACCAAUACAAGUCAAAUAAGAGUAAUUGCUUUUGUUUUGGAUGAAUGCACAGCCUUAAAACCCUUUCACUUCUUCCGUCUUGGGUUCACAUCCAUAUACCAUUAAACGCUUCCUCGAUUCUCACACGUAGAAGCUAAAACAUUUGAGACAAGGAAAUGUAAAUAAAACUGUGCAAUAAUACAGGCUGUCUAUAGCUGUAACUAAAUACAGGCUGUCUAUAGCUGUAACUAAAUACAGGCUGUCUAUAGCUGUAACUAAAUACAGGCUGUCUAUAGCUGUAACUAAAUACAGGCUGUCUAUAGCUGUAACUAAAUACAGGCUGUCUAUAGCUGUAACUAAAUACAGGCUGUCUAUAGCUGUAACUAAAUACAGGCUGUCUAUAGCUGUAACUAAAUACAGGCUGUCUAUAGCUGUAACUAAAUACAGGCUGUCUAUAGCUGUAACUAAAUACAGGCGGUCUAUAGCUGUAACUAAAUACAGGCUGUCUAUAGCUGUACCUAAAUACAGGCUGUCUAUAGCUGUACCUAAAUACAGGCGGUCUAUAGCUGUAACUAAAUAACAUAUUUGACAUGAUUAACAUUAACGAAUCCGAGUGUUGCGAUAGUGAACCACUCAUGAUAAAAAUCAGGCCAGUCAGGUGGAUUACGACUGUAAAUAAUAUGAACUAUUACUCUGAAGGUCGUCCCCCCCCCCCAGCGUUAGUAAUGAUAUGUAUCUCAGACAGUUCUGUUGCUGUACGUCUCCUCUAGAGGACGGAGGACGGGGGGGGGCUGAAACAGACAGACCGGUGAGACACCGCUUCACUCUCCGUCACAGAGGCCUUAUACAGUGGAGCGUUCUGGCAUGAUGGACGGAGUACCUGCUGCCUAGCGCUGGAACCUUCCAGCAGACAGACAGACUCGCUCUGGGGCAUAUUCACUAGGGCAACAAACGGAAGCAAACAGGACGAAUAAAAAAAGUGGGGAGCUGGUAGGUAUUACACACGAACACCCUUGUUUUCUGUUGCACAACGUUUGAUAUAAUUUCCCCCCAUAAUGAAUAUCACCCGGGUCUGUCACCUCAAAACAAAAAACGGACAGUCGGACUAGUUCUGGUGUGGCGCCGCCAACACAUCAGCUCUGGUUGCUGUUCUUCGAGGUCUUGGUGGAGGAGUUCUGUUCGUCUCCCGUCAGUAGAGCCUUUAUCUCAGACGGGAUCUUCCCCUGGUCCAUGGCUGUACACCACUGCUUGUACUGAAGGAGAAAACCAAAUAGAGAGUUAGAUGACAGAGUUGGCUGUGGUCUGGAAACAUCUAUUUAGCGACACAGAGGCUU
RNAcentral lists this long non-coding RNA (1932 nucleotides) under Salmo salar (Atlantic salmon). Its description in RNAcentral is "lncRNA (ENSSSAG00000119186.1)". The record is from RNAcentral. Lineage: Eukaryota; Metazoa; Chordata; Actinopteri; Salmoniformes; Salmonidae.